UAGGGAAUCUUCGGCAAUGGGGGGAACCCUGACCGAGCAACGCCGCGUGAGUGAAGAAGGUUUUCGGAUCGUAAAGCUCUGUUGUUAAGGAAGAACGAGUGUGAGAAUGGAAAGUUCAUGCUGUGACGGUACUUAACCAGAAAGGGACGGCUAACUACGUGCCAGCAGCCGCGGUAAUACGUAGGUCCCGAGUGUUGUCCGGAUUUAUUGGGCGUAAAGCGAGCGCAGGCGGUUAGAAAAGUCUGAAGUGAAAGGCAGUGGCUCAACCAUUGUAGGCUUUGGAAACUGUUUAACUUGAGUGCAGAAGGGGAGAGUGGAAUUCCAUGUGUAGCGGUGAAAUGCGUAGAUAUAUGGAGGAACACCGGUGGCGAAAGCGGCUCUCUGGUCUGUAACUGACGCUGAGGCUCGAAAGCGUGGGGAGCGAACAGG
RNAcentral lists this ribosomal RNA (429 nucleotides) under Bacteroidota bacterium. RNAcentral's name for it is "Bacteroidetes bacterium partial 16S ribosomal RNA". It matches the Rfam family "Bacterial small subunit ribosomal RNA", at positions 355 to 776 of the family's 1533-position model. Lineage: Bacteria; Pseudomonadati; Bacteroidota. The record is from RNAcentral.